Molecule: non-coding RNA, 153 nt
Organism: Thalictrum thalictroides
Lineage: Eukaryota; Viridiplantae; Streptophyta; Magnoliopsida; Ranunculales; Ranunculaceae
Source: the annotation of a GenBank genome assembly
AAAGCAAGAUUAUGUUUAUGGAUGCAGUGCUCUAAUCAAUGCACUUCUAGUUGAAAGAUCUUCUUGCGAUACCAAAUUUUGGGGAAGGUAGGCAGUUCCGCAGUUGUAUAUCACUUUUGGGUUGAAAUUUCAAUAAUCAUUUUCCCCACAUCA